Small nucleolar RNA from Solanum verrucosum, 72 nucleotides. RefSeq annotates it as small nucleolar RNA snoR60. The transcript has a single exon. Lineage: Eukaryota; Viridiplantae; Streptophyta; Magnoliopsida; Solanales; Solanaceae. The record is from RefSeq and is a predicted model, not a curated record.
AAUCACAUGAUGAGUUACUCGGAUUUUCCUUCAAGACAUAAUGGGUGAUGCAAAAAUUGAGUUUUUGAUGCA